AGAGUUUGAUUCUGGCUCAGGAUGAACGCUGGCGGCGUGCUUAACACAUGCAAGUCGAACGGGCUUAAGACUGAAGCUUGCUUUGGACUUAAGUUAGUGGCGGACGGGUGAGUAACGCGUGGGUAACCUACCCUGUGCAGGGGGAUAGCAGCUGGAAACGGCUGAUAAAACCGCAUAACACGGUAGCACCGCAUGGUGCAGCCGUCAAAUAUUUAUAGGCACAGGAUGGGCCCGCGUCUGAUUAGCUAGUUGGCGGGGCAACGGCCCACCAAGGCGACGAUCAGUAGCCGGCCUGAGAGGGUGAACGGCCACAUUGGGACUGAGACACGGCCCAAACUCCUACGGGAGGCAGCAGUGGGGAAUAUUGGACAAUGGGGGAAACCCUGAUCCAGCGAACGCCGCGUGAGUGAAGAAGUAUUUCGGUAUGUAAAGCUCUAUCAGCAGGGAAGAUGAUGACGGUACCUGACUAAGAAGCACCGGCUAAAUACGUGCCAGCCGCGGC
RNAcentral lists this ribosomal RNA (502 nucleotides) under uncultured bacterium. RNAcentral describes it as "bacterial SSU rRNA". It matches the Rfam family "Bacterial small subunit ribosomal RNA", at positions 8 to 518 of the family's 1533-position model. The record is from RNAcentral.